GGAGAGAUGGCCGAGUGGUUGAAGGCGCACGCCUGGAAAGUGUGUGAUGUCAGAAAUGGUAUCCCAGGGUUCGAAUCCCUGUCUCUCCGCCA
Molecule: transfer RNA, 92 nt
Filed under: Candidatus Omnitrophota bacterium
Lineage: Bacteria; Pseudomonadati; Candidatus Omnitrophota
Description: Candidatus Omnitrophica bacterium (sediment metagenome) tRNA-Ser
Rfam family: tRNA
About the family: Transfer RNA (tRNA) molecules are approximately 80 nucleotides in length.
Source: RNAcentral